GGUUUGGGUUUUCUAGUUUAUGGCCCUAUAGGGGAGAGUUGCUAUCAUUGGGCCGGCUCCUUCGAUGAGCCACCUCCAUUAUUUUGUUGUUAUUAACAGUAAGCGCUAUCUAUUGACUGUUUACUAUACUACAUGAAGCUUGAAAAUCGCCAUCUUGACUGUGAGUUGAUCCACGCACAAACAAGGUUCCUAUACAAGAAAAUAUAAAGUCGUGGUCAUCAUGUCGAUCGUUCAGAAAUUAGGACAAGGCGUACGAAUUGAUUUUAGCAAGUUAUGGGAUAUUGAAAGGGACACAUAUUCAACUCAUGUGAUCGAGACGCAGGAAUUUUCUGCGAUAGGCCUCGUCGUGGGACUUUAUUACGAGUAAACAUAAGGAGAUUGAAGAAUAAUCAUUAUUUUCUCUGAUGAUCAUUAUUUUUUUCGAAGAAUAAACCAUUGAUUCUAGAUGAAAAAAGAGA
This 458-nucleotide unclassified non-coding RNA is filed under the name Harpegnathos saltator (Jerdon's jumping ant). Its description in RNAcentral is "tctex1 domain-containing protein 1-B-like, transcript variant X2". Lineage: Eukaryota; Metazoa; Arthropoda; Insecta; Hymenoptera; Formicidae. The record is from RNAcentral.